CAGGUUGCCGUAGCAGCGGUCGGACACGAAGCUCUUUGCUCGACUUUCGAAUACUCCCCACUCACCCUGAAUUCACCACCUUGCCGCCUCCUGACUGUUCCAUCCCUACGAUGGCGACGCCCAGCGUCGAUUCGUGCGCAUUUUCAUCCCCAGCUCGGAGAUUCGUUCUUCUAUGGACGCCUGUGCGCUUAUCGAAUGAAAAUUGUUGUGUGAUAAAUCAGUGUAUCAAUAUAAAAUUAGUGUUCUGUUGAGGAUACUUUUAUAAGCAAUUAUUGGUACAUCUUCUUGAAAAAAAAACCGGAUCGCAUAAAAUGGUGUUGAAGGGGGCAGGAGGAGGAGAGAAAGGGGCGCAGGGGAAGAAACACGAGGGGGAGAAGAAUGGAGCUGUGAAGCGGCCAAGGGAGUGAGGAGGAAGGGAAAGAUGCCGGCUGGUAAGCAGAUGGUUGCCCCGUUUAUUGGUUUAUUCGUUGAUUCAGCCAUGACGUUCCGUCCGGCCAUGAAAUAAACCGGAGACUCUCCUUGUGUUAGAGAGUAUCAAGCAACAAGGCUACAACUGCUAUUCCUAUUAAAACGCAUCCGCGAGCUACUUUUAUUCGCGUGAUUAUUUGAAAUUUCGCAACCGGUUAUUGUUUCUGACGUGAUGAAUUUAUAUACUGUACAUCUAUAAGAGGUAAAAGACUAUAAAUUCUGUAAGUAAUGAAAGAAUCUUUCAAAUUGGUGCCUAUUAAACAUAUAUUUUAUUGUUUUUCUAUCUGUUACAGAAAUAAUAUUAUGCUAAUAAAUACUUCUCCACACAUUACAUUUGCUGCCAUUGUGCAUAAGCAAUAUUUUAUUAUAAAAGUAAUUUAACAUAAAACUUCUUUUCAUUCAUAUAUUUAAAGAAACAAAGAAAAAUAAAUAAUUAAUUGUUUUGAGUAAAUUUUGAAUAAAUUUAGAGUAUAUUGUUUUUCUUUAUUUAUGCAACUUAUUUCUAACAUGUAUAUGUAUCUUUAAAAAUAUCUGACUCUUUAUUAUCCUAAUUUAUUUAAUAGUUAAUUAGAAACUUUGAAUGGAAUUAGUAUAAUAAAUUUUUCUAUACCAAAAAUAUGCACAAUAGCAAGGGAAUAACAGCGAUUUUGGUGGGCGAGAGCUCUGCCGCGGGGUGCAAAUGUACGCGUUAUAUAGAUGAUAUUCAGUAAUGGCGUCCUGGGGGCGGACGAAAUGCUCGGGUCGAUAGAAGGAAGGUUGCUUGCCUACGAAACUCAAAUACACUCUCGUCUUAUUGUCGAUGAUCCCUACUUACAAUGGACUUUUCUGUGGCUUAUCCCCAGGGAUGUCACCAACAUGACUCGAAAUACAAUUGAUUAUAUCCGUGGAAAAUUUCUUAAUCCGGAUCAAAACCUGAAAAUCGCCGUUUAAAAGGAUUAACAUCAUCAACCGAUUUUACUGGGAUACCUAAUAUAUCUCUAAGGAUUCAACAUCCUUCAUUUUCUUUGACAUAGGAAAACUAAUUUGUCAAAAUGACAUUUGACGUGUGACAUUUCCUCCAUAAUAUGAUCAUUUCUUAUUUUUACACUCUUUGCUAUUAUGCAACAUGACCAAGUAACCUGGAAAUGAAAGGUACGUCGACACGCGUGCAGGAAUAAAAGAAGCUGUACCGCUAAGAAGAAGAAGAA
Long non-coding RNA from Monomorium pharaonis (pharaoh ant), 1655 nucleotides. RefSeq lists it as uncharacterized. The record is from RefSeq and is a predicted model, not a curated record. The transcript is spliced from 6 exons. NCBI's taxonomy places the organism in Eukaryota, Metazoa, Arthropoda, Insecta, Hymenoptera, Formicidae.